Molecule: ribosomal RNA, 339 nt
Filed under: Caldanaerobacter subterraneus
Lineage: Bacteria; Bacillati; Bacillota; Clostridia; Thermoanaerobacterales; Thermoanaerobacteraceae
Description: partial 23S ribosomal RNA
Rfam family: Bacterial large subunit ribosomal RNA
Source: RNAcentral
AAGGCCGCAGAGAAGAGGCCCAAGCGACUGUUUACCAAAAACACAGGUCUCUGCUAAGCCGAAAGGCGAAGUAUAGGGGCUGACGCCUGCCCGGUGCUGGAAGGUUAAGGGGAAGGGUGAAAGCCCUGAACCGAAGCCCCAGUGAACGGCGGCCGUAACUAUAACGGUCCUAAGGUAGCGAAAUUCCUUGUCGGGUAAGUUCCGACCUGCACGAAAGGCGUAACGACUUGGGCGCUGUCUCGAGGAGGGGCCCGGCGAAGUUGUAGUGCUCGUGAAGAUGCGAGCUACCCGCGAUUGGACGGAAAGACCCCGUGGAGCUUUACUGUAGCCUGUCACUGG